This 69-nucleotide transfer RNA is filed under the name Puncturella cf. parvinobilis. RNAcentral describes it as "tRNA-Leu". Lineage: Eukaryota; Metazoa; Mollusca; Gastropoda; Lepetellida; Fissurellidae. The record is from RNAcentral.
GUCGGGGUGGCAGAGUAAGUGCGUUAGAUUUAAGCUCUAAAUAUGAGACUAUAGAAGUUUUUCCUGGUA